UUCUGCAACUUCCGGUCCUUCCUACAUCAUGCAUUGCAUGCAGUAAGGCUGAUGUUAAUAAACGUUAAUGACCAAAUAAUCAGCAACUAAAAUAUAUGUCAGAAUGUGCUUGAUUAAAUGUCGCAAAUAAUUAUUUUAAUCGAAAAUUAUGGAUAAUACAAAGUAUUAUAUUUGGUGAGCUUAAUUACUUAUACAUAUAUAUUAAAUCAACCAUGCAUCAUGAAAUGACCAUGGAUUACUGAAUCAUAACUUCAACAAAAAGGAUUGCAUCAUAUUUAGGAAUGAAUGCUUUGUUCAACAUAGUAUUAACAUUGCGGGAUUUGAAAUCAAAGAGAUGUGAAUCGUUUAAAUGUAAUUGGCACUAUGCAAAUGAAAUGACUCGAUUCUGAUCAGAAUCGUUUUGAAAAUGUUAAUGCACACAUUUAUUGCAUGCUGUACAAACACUGGCGAUAUCCCUGUAAAAAGAUGUGGAAGUAUAAUUAUGUACACAAAUAUAUUAAGCUGAACCUAAA
This is a long non-coding RNA of Bombus pascuorum, 512 nucleotides long. RefSeq lists it as uncharacterized. The transcript is spliced from 2 exons. The record is from RefSeq and is a predicted model, not a curated record. NCBI's taxonomy places the organism in Eukaryota, Metazoa, Arthropoda, Insecta, Hymenoptera, Apidae.